RNAcentral lists this ribosomal RNA (497 nucleotides) under uncultured bacterium. Its description in RNAcentral is "partial 16S ribosomal RNA". It matches the Rfam family "Bacterial small subunit ribosomal RNA", at positions 28 to 507 of the family's 1533-position model. The record is from RNAcentral.
GAUGAACGCUGGCGGCGUGCCUAAUACAUGCAAGUCGAGCGAACAGACGAGGAGCUUGCUCCUCUGACGUUAGCGGCGGACGGGUGAGUAACACGUGGAGAACCUACCUAUAAGACUGGGAUAACUUCGGGAAACCGGAGCUAAUACCGGAUAAUAUAUUGAACCGCAUGGUUCAAUAGUUAAGGACGGUUUUGCUGUCACUUGUAGAUGGAUCCGGGCCGCCUUAGCUAGUUGGUAAGGUAACGGCUUACCAAGGCAACGAUGCGUAGCCGACCUGAGAGGGUGAUCGGCCACACUGGAACAGAGACACGGUCCAGACUCCUACGGGAGGCAGCAGUAGGGAAUCUUCCGCAAUGGGCGAAAGCCUGACGGAGCAACGCCGCGUGAGUGAUGAAGGUCUUCGGAUCGUAAAACUCUGUUAUUAGGGAAGAACAAAUGUUUAAGUAACUAUGCACGUCUUGACGGUACCUAAUCAGAAAGCCACGGCUAACUACGUG